Molecule: ribosomal RNA, 253 nt
Filed under: uncultured bacterium
Lineage: Bacteria
Description: partial 16S ribosomal RNA
Rfam family: Bacterial small subunit ribosomal RNA
Source: RNAcentral
UACAGAGGGGGCAAGCGUUAUUCGGAAUUAUUGGGCGUAAAGGGCGCGUAGGCGGCUUUUCAAGUGACGGGUGAAAUCCCUCGGCUUAACCGAGGAACUGCCUGUCAGACUGGAAGGCUUGAGACCGGGAGAGGUGAGUGGAAUUCCCAGUGUAGCGGUGAAAUUCGUAGAUAUUCGCAAGAACACCAGUGGCGAAGGCGGCUCACUGGCCCGAUACUGACGCUGAGGCACGAAAGCGUGGGGAGCAAACAGG